CACUAGGCUCUUUUCAGAGCCACCAUACAUUAAGCAGGGUGACCAG
Non-coding RNA from Operophtera brumata (winter moth), 46 nucleotides. Lineage: Eukaryota; Metazoa; Arthropoda; Insecta; Lepidoptera; Geometridae. The record is from Rfam.